UACGUAGGUGGCAAGCGUUGUCCGGAAUUAUUGGGCGUAAAGCGCGCGCAGGCGGUUAUGUAAGUCUGAUGUUAAAGCCCGGGGCUCAACCUCGGUUCGCAUUGGAAACUGCGUAACUUGAGUGCAGAAGAGGAAAGUGGUAGUCCACGUGUAGCGGUGAAAUGCGUAGAUAUGUGGAGGAACGCCAGUGGCGAAGGCGACUUUCUGGUCUGUAACUGACGCUGAGGCGCGAAAGCGUGGGGAGCAAACAGG
Molecule: ribosomal RNA, 252 nt
Filed under: uncultured bacterium
Lineage: Bacteria
Description: partial 16S ribosomal RNA
Rfam family: Bacterial small subunit ribosomal RNA
Source: RNAcentral